This 254-nucleotide ribosomal RNA is filed under the name uncultured bacterium. RNAcentral's name for it is "partial 16S ribosomal RNA". It matches the Rfam family "Bacterial small subunit ribosomal RNA", at positions 524 to 776 of the family's 1533-position model. The record is from RNAcentral.
UACGGGGGGGGCAAGCGUUGUUCGGAAUUACUGGGCGUAAAGGGCUCGUAGGUGGCCAACUAAGUCAGACGUGAAAUCCCCAGGCUCAACUUGGGAACUGCGUCUGAUACUGGAUGGCUUGAAUUCGGGAGAGGGAUGCAGAAUUCCAGGUGUAGCGGUGAAAUGCGUAGAUAUCUGGAGGAAUACCGGUGGCGAAGGCGGCAUCCUGGACCAACACUGACGCUGAGUGAGCGAAAGCCAGGGGAGCAAACGGG